GGACAUCUUGCAAGCUACGUAUCAGUUUCUCCAAUAUCGGUGGACUGAUAACAUGUUUGUACGCCAAUUGAAGAGGUCCAUAAAUGUCAUGCCUCCUUCAUGUUCUCCUGUGAUCAUUAGAAGAUUAACAUAGAAAUAUGUACCUAAAUCAUGGUUGUUCUUGGCCGAGAACUUGAGAUGUUUGAGGCCUUUUUAGGCUGAUCCAAUGCGAAGUAUUGCUUUACUUCCUCUAUAAAGUGUGCCUCAGCAUGGCCAGCUUUGAGGCAAGCUUCCAUCUCUUGUGUAUAGCAUCUAAGUGUAAGGAGAGGGCUCCUUGUAGGUGGCGUAGCCUGGCUUUUUUGCAGAUAGUGUUGUAAGUCUUUUGCGCAGAAAAACGCCAGGAGCAUAGACACAUGCAAUGACAUCGGAAAUGGAAAACUCAGAGGCAUUUUUGAGUUUCUUUAAGUAAACGGAGUUGUGUUUUGGCUUGUUGGCGAGACGUGCCGAGGCUCUGCGUUGGAAAGUCAUUAUUCUUGAUGUUUAUGUAUUAUAGAUGGUGAUGAUAAUUGUGAAAUAGAACAUUGUUUAUAUAGGUGGAGGAUAGGGGUCUCCAUGUAAGUGUAGAUGCGAGUUAAUGGCUUUGUGAAGAUGCAGUCGUACGUGUAUAUACGUUAUAACAAUAUGUUUCAUAAUUAUAUUUUAGUUAACUCUUUAUGAUCAGAGAUUCUAACUCUUCCUUCGAUUAAAAACAAUCCAUAUGAUCUAACAUUAUACAGAAGAAGAAACAGACCAGAUACGUUGUUACUAUGUAGUGGAGAGAGAGAGAGAACUGAAAGUUAAGAUUAUGGGGCAAAAAUAUAUCGUUUAUUUAGUGUGGGGUCCGAAAUACAAAGAAAAGCAAAUCCCAAAUUUCUCAAAAAAAAUGGGCGUCGUUUUGAGUUUCCAAUUUUAACAAAAUGCACGUUGUUUUAUUUUUGAAACAAACGUUUUCCUUUCUCCUCAAACUGCAAUAAAAAAAUCCAUGAAACGACGUCAUUUAAUAAAGAGCUCUUCUGAAGUCGUCAUCACCAGAUCUAUCCUCUUCCAAUUUUCCCAGACAAAUUCAAAAGCAUCAAUAGCCCUGGAGAUUAUUGGUCGUCACGCUCUCUUUUUCGAUGGCUACCUUUGUAAACUCCCCGACAGCGCUUGUUAACUGGAACAGCCACCGGUACGAUGUUCUUCACCUCCUCUCUUCUCUUCCACCUCCGCGUAUGAAGCGCGGCUGUUUGGUUUCAGACGACCCCGACUUAGAAUCGGACCUCAAUCACGUGCGCUAACUUGAUUUACCGGCGGAAUCUCUAUCUCUUUCGCAUGAUGACAGAGAUAGAGAAAGGAAGCUCAGACAUCAUGUGGCGCCAUCGCAGGAACAAAAGAGACGGUCUGCGAUUCUUCAAUUGAGAUUAGGGUUAGAGCGAGAACCACAUCUAUCCAGGCCGGAUAAAGGGACCAAACUCAUAGCCCAACACACGAUAAAUGAAGAAAGCCCAUCUCGACGUGUAUCUAAAUGAAACACCGAGUUUCAUUAAUCGGCGACACGUGUUGCGAUGAGGAGCGACGACUUAUCUAGCUGGUGGUGACGUUGAGACACCAGGAUUGAGGGAACUGUACUUUAUAUAUAAAGAUUAUGGAGAAAAUAAUUUGAUAUUCAUUUAAAAUACAUGUCAAACUUUUUGUUUCAUGUAUUAAUAAAAAUUACAUUUAAAGUUAAAAA
Molecule: long non-coding RNA, 1729 nt
Organism: Brassica napus (rape)
Lineage: Eukaryota; Viridiplantae; Streptophyta; Magnoliopsida; Brassicales; Brassicaceae
Exons: 2
Source: RefSeq, a predicted model, not a curated record